Molecule: unclassified non-coding RNA, 3848 nt
Filed under: Aphidius gifuensis
Lineage: Eukaryota; Metazoa; Arthropoda; Insecta; Hymenoptera; Braconidae
Description: protein draper-like, transcript variant X1
Source: RNAcentral
CUUACUGCCAUUCAGACAGCCCCACUCAGUAGAAUUUCAGUACAUAAAAUAUUGUAGAAUAUGUCAUAUAUAUUCUGUAAAUUUUAUCAUACAAAGUGACGCUAAUAAAAAUUAAGCUAACAAUAAUAUAUAUUGAUUUAUUAAUCAAGCAUAUUGACUAUUUAUCAAUUCAAAUAAUAAAUAGUAACUUAUUUUAAAAAAAAAAAACAAACGUAAUCAAAUUUUUCUUUACGUUUUUCUCGUCAUGUAACAAGUGUUUGUGUGCCUCAAUAAUAAUUGGAUUAUAGCAGUUUUUUUUUUUAACAUACAAAGACAUAUUAUUAAAAAAUUUUAAAAAUACCAAUAUUACUGAUGAUUAUAUAAAAAAAAAGGAUGACUUGAAAAAAACUGAUGCAACUUUAUGGAAUGUUUAUUUUUGUUAAUACAAUUAUAAAUUAAUAAAAUAAUUUCAACGAUUUCAUGAUAAAAAUAUUUAAAAAAAAUGGCUAUCAAGAUAAAUCUUUUUUUAUCUACAUUUUGUUUGACAACAAUAUUUUUGGUAUCAGCAGUACUUGAAGGACCAAAUGUUUGUGUAAGACAAGAAAAUUAUACAGUUACUGUUAACAUCUCAGAACAAAAACCUUACAAGGCAAGAACAACCACUUGGUGCGUGGCUUUUCCUCCAAAGUGUUCAUCUUAUAAAACGAUAGUUAGAACUGUUUAUACAACUCAGGUUCUACAAAAACAAAGACCAGUUGAAGAAUGUUGCAAAGGAUAUGGUGAAACAGCCACUGGUGAUAAAUGUGUUCCAAUUUGUUCUCAAGACUGUAAACAUGGAUCUUGUAUAGCACCAGAUUCAUGUAUUUGUGAAGCAGGAUAUGGUGGCUCAGCUUGUGACACUAAAUGUCCAAAAGGCACAUGGGGUUCAAGAUGUAUUCAUAAAUGUGAUUGUUCAAAUGAUACUAACUGUAAUCCAUUUGAUGGAAAAUGCGAUUGCACAGAAAAUUGUGAAGAUAAAUAUUAUAGUCCAAAUUUCAGUAAAGGAUUUUGUAAUUGUAAAAAUGAAAAUUAUGUUUGUCAUCCAACUGAUGGUUGUGUAUGUAUGUAUGGUUAUACUGGAUCAACAUGUGAAGAGCCAUUAUUCAUUGCAACAAAUGUAUUACAACAAAAAUCUGAAUCAAGUUAUAGUGGUGUAUUUGUUGCUGCAUUAUUUUCAGCAUGUCUUGCAAUUUCAAUAUUAGUUGCUGGAUUAAUGUAUCAUCGUCGACGAGUAGCUGAUUUAAAAUUAGAAAUAGCACAUGUACAGUAUAUUGCUGAACCAGUUAUAUCACCAGAUAGUAAUCAUUUUGAUAAUCCAGUUUAUUCAUAUCAAAGUUCUGGAAAAACAGAUGAUGGAACAAUAAAUCUUUUAAAUAAUGGCCUUAUUAGAAAUAAUUUAUGUAUGAAAAGUGUCAAUACUCAAAAAGCUAAGUUUGACUCAUUUAAUAAUGUUGAUGAAGAUAAUGCAACAUGCAAAGAAUCAUACAGUAAUCAUAAUCAAACAACAUCAAUGAAAAAUAAAGAUGCUGAUAUUGGAAAUCCAAAUAUUAAUGUUUAUCAUAGUAUUGAUGAAAUGGAUACUAAAAAAAUUAUUAAUGAACCACUUUAUGAUGAAAUUAAACAAAAUAAUAAUGAUUUUGUUUAUGAUCAUCUUGAUUAUGCACGUUCAAGUGCUUGGAAACCUCAUUAUCAAAGAAUGUUCAAUGGAUCAAAUUCCAGUAGUAGUAAAGAUGGAAGUGGAAGCAGUAAAUCAAGCCAGCAUGAUCUCGAAAAUGGUGGUCCUUAAUUUUUUUAUCAAUUAGAAAAAUAAGGCUCAUUUAUUUUUCUAUCUAUGAUAAAGCUUCAAAAUAUUUUUCUAUAAAUUGUGCAAUUAGUGAUUAAUAUAUUUUACUACUACUCAUAAAAGCACUAAGAUAUUUUUGCAAACAAUAAUUUAAUUUCAAGGCAUGUAAAUAUCAAAAAUUUCUACCUGAAAUUUAUAUGAUUAAUUUUUUUUUUUUUCUAUUUUAUUUUAUCGUUAUUAUUAUAAUUAAAUUUUUUUUCGACAUAAUACUGAUCAAGAAUAUAUAUAUACAUAAAAGAGUAUUUUAUAGUAUAUAAAUACGUAUCACUGUGAAAAUUUAUUUUUAAAAAUAAUCUAAUGAUUCAGAUGCAUACACGAACAAAGAGGAAAUGAUGCAUGUUUUAUUGUUUUAUUGUGAUUUUAUUACUAACUUGAUUUACUAUUAUUAUUUUUAAAUUUAUUAUUAUUUUGUAAAUAUAUUUUUUACUAUUACAUAUUAUAUUCUUUAUUUAUCGACAAAUAUUUUGAACUAAUCUAUUUUAAAAAUUAAUUAACUACGUUUAUAUAUAGACAUUAACUGAAAUCAUUCCAGCAUUAAUUUGGUCAAAUCAUGUGUAUUUAUUAAAACUAAAGUAUUUCAAUUUUAUUACUAUAAUAAUUAUCAAUAUACAUUACUUUUAAUCAACAAUAUAAAUAAUAAUAGUUAAACAAGUGAUUCAAAAAAAAAAAAGAAAAAAAAAAUAGUUUUAUUGAAUUACACAGCGAAAUAUAUAUCACAAUUAAAUCGACAAUUAAUUUUAAACUUUAGACACUACAACUUUUUAUGAUGAUAAUAAUAUUUUUUUUUUUUUUUUUUUUUCGAAAAAUAUAUUUUAUCUUUUGUGUAGUGUUGAAUCAAUAAUAUACUAGCUUUUUUUUAUUGUAUUGAAAAUGAGGAUAAAAAAAAUUCCUUAAAAUCAAAUUAUAUCUCUUGACAUAUAUAUACUUUAUUAUUAUUAUUAUUAUUAUUUCUAUGACAUCUGCAUUUACAUAUAUUUAGAUGUUUUUUUUUUGUGCUUUAAUUUAAAAUAAAGAGAAGAAAAAAAAUGAUAUUCACUGUUGAGUAUGCAUAAAUUAAUAAACAAAUGGGUAAUUAAAUUAUAAUAUGACAAAUUUAAAAAGAAAUAGUAUUAGAUGUUGAUAAUUUUUAAUCAACAAUUACAGAUAAUGUCAAAACAGGAAACAUCCUCUUUUUAUUAGAAAGAAAUAUGCAUGGAUGACAAAGGCUAGAUUUAGAACUUGUUGGCCAACUCAAUUAGUCACAUCAAAGUGAUGAUAUAUUUCAGCAAGUUUGAACAUUAGUUAUUAUAUUUUUUGAGUAUUGAUUGUAAUGAAAUAUCAAAUUUUAAUUAAUAAUAUAACAAAACAAAAAAAAAGAAAAAGUAUAUUGAUGUAUUGGGAUAGUUUUAUAUUUUAAAUAUUCUGGAAAUAAAAGUUAUUAAAUCUUAUUAUGGCUAUCAGGAUAAAUGUUUUUUUAUAUACAUUUAGUUUGACUACAAUAUUUUUGGUAUCAGGAGUACUUGAAGGACCAAAUGUUUGUGUAAGACAAGAAAAUUAUACAGUUACUGUUAACAUCUCACAACAAAAAUCUUACAAGGCAAGACAAAACACUUGGUGCAUGGUUUUUACUCUAAAGUGUUCAACUUAUAAAACGAUAGUCAGAACUGUUUAUACAACUCAGGUUCUACAAAAACAAAGACCAGUUGAAGAAUGUUGCAAAGGAUAUGGUAAAACAGCCACUGGUGAUGAAUGUGUUCCAAUAUGUUCUCAAGACUGUAAACAUGGAUCUUGUAUAGCACCAGAUUCAUGUAUUUGUGAAGCAGGAUAUGGUGGUUCAGCUUGUGACACUAGCAAGUAUGCCAGUGUAACAUCUGAGCCUGUAAAUUUGAAUAUUGAUAGAAAGGAAUCUGAUGAAGAACAUGAUUAUGAAGUGCCUUAUUUCUAUAACAAUGAUAACGAUUACAAUCAUCUUGAUCAUGCACGGUCACAAAACAAUCGAAAAUCCAAC